Molecule: ribosomal RNA, 292 nt
Filed under: uncultured bacterium
Lineage: Bacteria
Description: partial 16S ribosomal RNA
Rfam family: Bacterial small subunit ribosomal RNA
Source: RNAcentral
GUGUCAGCAGCCGCGGUAAUACGGAGGAUGCAAGCGUUAUCCGGAUUUAUUGGGUUUAAAGGGUGCGCAGGUGGUUUUAUAAGUCAGUGGUGAAAGUCUGGCGCUUAACGUUAGGAUUGCCAUUGAUACUGUAGGACUUGAGUAUGGAUGAGGUAGGCGGAAUGUGUAGUGUAGCGGUGAAAUGCAUAGAUAUUACACAGAACUCCGAUUGCGAAGGCAGCUUACUAAUCCAUGACUGACGCUGAGGCACGAAAGCGUGGGGAUCAAACAGGAUUAGAAACCCGCGUAGUCC